RNAcentral lists this ribosomal RNA (2859 nucleotides) under wastewater metagenome. Its description in RNAcentral is "bacterial LSU rRNA". It matches the Rfam family "Bacterial large subunit ribosomal RNA". The record is from RNAcentral.
UCAAGCUAGAAAGAGCUUAUGGUGGAUGCCUUGGUGCCAAGAGGCUAUGAAGGACGCAGCAAGCUGCGAUAAUCCACGGUCAGCCGCAAGCAGGCUAUGAACCGUGGGUCUCCGAAUGGGGAAACCCACUGAUGGAAACGUCAGUAUCGCUGGAUGAAUUCAUAGUCCAGCGAAGCAACACGUGGUGAAGUGAAACAUCUCAGUAACCACAGGAAAAGAAAACGACGUCAUUCCGCUAGUAGUGGCGAGCGAACGCGGAGGAGCCUAAACUAAUGAGACUUGUCUCAUCAGGGUUGUGGGACCUCAAUGUGGUAGGACUAUUGUUAGCUGAAUCUUUUGGAAGAAAGAGCCAUAGACCGUGAAAGCCGGGUCAGUAAAACAAGAAGCCGCCUAGAGAAAUCCCAAGUAGCACGGUGCAAGUGAAACUCUGUGCGAAUCAGUCCGGACCACCGGAUAAGGCUAAAUACUACUUGGCAACCGAUAGUGAACCAGUACCGCGAGGGAAAGGCGAAAAGAACCCCUUUUAGGGGAGUGAAACAGAUCCUGAAACCAUAAGCUUACAAUGUGUAGGAGCGCUUAAUAGCGUGACUGCUUGCCUUUUGCAUAAUGAGUCUGCGAGUUAUUGUCUGCGGCCCGCCUAAACCUUUUUUGGUGAAAGCGAAGGGAAACCGAGUGCGAAAUGCGCGUUUGUCGCUGGCAAUAGACCCGAAGCGGAGGUGAUCUACUCUUGAGCAGGUUGAAACUGUGGUAACACACAGUGGAGGACCGAACUCGUGAAUGUUGAAAAAUUCUGAGAUGACUUGAGAGUAGGAGCGAAAGACUAAUCAAACCCCGUGAUAGCUGGUUCUCUCCGAAAUAGCUUGAGGGCUAGCGUUGGAUAAGUUCUCCGAGGAGGUAGAGCACUGGAUGGCUUAGAGUCCCUACCAGGAUAUCAAAACCAAUCAAACUCCGAAUUCAAUGGAUCUCGUUAACCCAGCAGUCAGGCUGCGAGGGAUAAGCUUCGUAGCCAAGAGGGCAACAGCCCAGACCGACGGCUAAGGUGCCAAAAUACUGUUAAGUGGAAAGGAUGUGACGUUGCUAAGACAGUGAGGAUGUUGGCUUAGAGGCAGCCAUCAUUUAAACAGUGCGUAAUAGCUGACUCAUCGAGCGAUGUCGCGCCGAAAAUGAUUGGCGAUUAAACAGUAUACCGAAGCCACGGAUUUCAGAUUGGUUAGCCAGUCUGAUGUGGUAGGAGAGCGUAAUCGAUUCUGUGAAGCCAGACUGAAAGGGAUGGUGGAGAGUCGAUUAGUGAGAAUGCAGACACGAGUAGCGAUAAACUAGAUGAGAAUUCUAGUCGCCGUAAACCCAAGGUUUCCUAGGCUAGGUUCGUCCUCCUAGGGUUAGUCGGGAGCUAAGACGAGGCCGUAAGGCGUAGUUGAUGCACAGCAGGUUAAUAUUCCUGCACUAGGUUUGGCCAAGGCUGGAAAAGACGCAGAAAAUAAGACAACAGUAUCAAUGAAAGAUACAGCUAAAGCGAAAGCUGAGGUGAGUUGUUAGAUGUUCUGCCCAGAAAAUUUUCCAGUCGUUUCUAAACUAACCCGUACCGUAAACCGACACAGGUGGGUGAGUGUAAGUGCACAAAGGCGCGCGAGAGAGACCUCUCUAAGGAACUCGGCACAUUAGCCCCGUAACUUCGGGAAAAGGGGUGCUCUGAGCAAUCAGAGCCACAGUAAAUUGCGUUUACCGACUGUUUAACAAAAACACAGCUCUCUGCUAAGUCGUUAAGACGAAGUAUAGGGAGUGACACGUGACCAAUGCGGAAAGAUCAAGGUGACUUGUUAGCCGCAAGGCGAAGCUCGGAGCCAAAGUCCCCGUGAAUGUCGGCCGUAACUAUAACGGUCCUAAGGUAGCGAAAUUCCUUGUCGGGUAAGUUCCGACCUGCACGAAUCGUGUAACGAGUGAACGACUGUCUCGGAGAGGAUCUCGGCGAAACUGUAAUUGCGGUGAAGAUGCCGCAUGCCCGCAGUAGGACGGAAAGACCCUAUGCACCUUUACUGUAAGCUGGUAUUGUGUUCUGGUUGAUGAUGCGUAGCGUAGGUGGGAGACUUUGAAGCAAGGGUUUCGGUCCUUGCCGAGUCGUAAUGUGAAACACCACUCUUCGUCAAUUAGGAUUCUAACCUUGAUUCCUGUAUAACCAGGCGAGGGACAGUGCUUGCGGGUCAGUUUGGCUGGGGCGGCUUCCUCCUAAAUGGUAACGGAGGAGCGCGAUGCUAGGUUCAGCAUGGUUGGCAAUCAUGCGUAGAGGGUAUGGCUAGAAACCUGGUUAACUGUGAGACCAACAAGUCGAGCAGAUGCGAAAGCAGGCCCAAAUGAUCCGAUGGUUUAAUGUGGAAUUGCCAUCGCUCAACGGACAAAAGGUACGCUAGGGAUAACAGGCUGAUCGGAUCCAAGAGUUCACAUCGACGAACCGGUUUGGCACCUCGAUGUCGGCUCAUCGCAUCCUGGGGCUGGAGAAGGUCCCAAGGGUCCGGCUGUUCGCCGGUUAAAGCGGUACGCGAGCUGGGUUCAGAACGUCGUGAGACAGUUCGGUCCUUAUCCACUGUGGGCGCAGGAGACUUGAGGGGUUCAAACCCUAGUACGAGAGGACCGGGUUUGACGCACUUCUGGUGUGGCAGUUGUUCCGUCAGGGGCAUAGCUGCGUAGCCAUGUGCGGAAGAGAUAAGCGCUGAAAGCAUCUAAGUGCCAAGCUCAUCCCAAGAUAAUGUCUCCCGGUCGUGAGACCCUAAAGACCACGGGCAGACUACCCGUUUAAUAGGUCAGGUGUGCAAACCCCGUGAGGGGAAAGCAGACUGAUACUAAUUGGUCGUGAGGCUUGAUUUC